UACGUAGGGUGCAAGCGUUGUCCGGAAUUAUUGGGCGUAAAGAGCUCGUAGGCGGUUUGUCGCGUCUGCUGUGAAAACUCGGGGCUUAACUCCGGGCCUGCAGUGGGUACGGGCAGACUAGAGUGCGGUAGGGGAGACUGGAAUUCCUGGUGUAGCGGUGAAAUGCGCAGAUAUCGGGAGGAACACCAGUGGCGAAGGCGAUCACCUGGGGUUGUUCUGACGCUGAGGAGCGAAAGCUAGGGGAGCAAACGGG
This 253-nucleotide ribosomal RNA is filed under the name uncultured bacterium. RNAcentral's name for it is "partial 16S ribosomal RNA". It matches the Rfam family "Bacterial small subunit ribosomal RNA", at positions 524 to 776 of the family's 1533-position model. The record is from RNAcentral.